Molecule: ribosomal RNA, 425 nt
Filed under: uncultured bacterium
Lineage: Bacteria
Description: partial 16S ribosomal RNA
Rfam family: Bacterial small subunit ribosomal RNA
Source: RNAcentral
GUUAGGAAUAUUGGACAAUGGGCGAAAGCCUGAUCCAGCCAUGCCGCGUGAACGAUGAAGGCCUUCGGGUUGUAAAGUUCUUUAGCCGAUGAUUAUAAUGACUGUAGUCGGAAAAUAAGCCCCGGCUAACUUCGUGCCAGCAGCCGCGGUAAUACGAAGGGGGCGAGCGUUAUUCGGAAUCACUGGGCGUAAAGCGUGCGUAGGCGGUUUUGUAAGUUAGGAGUGAAAGCCCAGGGCUCAACCUUGGAAUUGCUCUUAAAACUGCAAGGCUCGAAUCUCGGAGAGGAUAGCGGAAUUUCCAGUGUAGCAGUGAAAUGCGUAGAUAUUGGAAGGAACACCAGUGGCGUAAGCGGCUAUCUGGACGAGUAUUGACGCUGAGGCACGAAAGCGUGGGGAUCAAACAGGAUUAGAUACCCUGGUAGUCC